UUGCCAUGGGCGCAAGCCUGAUGCAGCGACGCCGCGUGAGGGAUGACGGCCUUCGGGUUGUAAACCUCUUUCAGUAGGGAAGAAGCGAAAGUGACGGUUACCUGCAGAAGAAGCGCCGGCUAACUACGUGCCAGCAGCCGCGGUAAUA
Molecule: ribosomal RNA, 148 nt
Filed under: uncultured bacterium
Lineage: Bacteria
Description: partial 16S ribosomal RNA
Rfam family: Bacterial small subunit ribosomal RNA
Source: RNAcentral